GGGCGCCUCUCGGCCUGCGCCAGCCGCCCACCCGUGACCGGCAGCUGCCUGGCCCCGGCCCUAGAGCCACGCGUGCCCGUGGGCUAUGGCUGACAAGCGCUCAGGAAACACCUCGUCUUACAUCUGCACUUCUCCAAAGCAGAGGCUGGUGCCUUCCCUGGUGUGCGGCAGACCUGCAUCGAAACUGCACCAGAGCCAGCAGCGUUGCAAGCUGCUCUGCCCUUUACUUGCUGUGCAACACAGGAUGAAGAACACACUACCUGAAGAGCACUCCUCAACUGAGCCCCUGCCAGUGCAUUCCCUGGACAAAAGCCAAUGGUGAAGCCUGGGAUGACAAAAGAAACGCCCCCCCUGCCAUGUCAAGGAAAUCAUGAAGGGGAUAUUCAUACUGUUAAAUCCAAGUAUUUUACUUCAGUGAAGAACCUGAACUCCCUCACUCCAUUUUCUGUGAGAAGAGGAAGGAACUUGUGCAGAGGGGACCUAUAUUAUGUUCCCAAAUAGAUGGGUUUAAUACCUGCUGAAGGUAAAAGAUGACACAGAGAAUUAAUUGGUUAUAGGGCUGAGAAUGCAAUCAGAGGCAAGAGACCUGGAAAGUAUUUCUGGAUUAUAUUUCUGAUAACCCAAAGGCGCUGGUAAUCUCUUCAAAGCCACUUUCUAACAUUACCACAUCUCUGGCAUCUGUUCUCUGAACACUUUUUUUUGAUUGCACCACUGUAUUUUCCUUCUAGACUGAAAGCCAAGAUCUUCUGAUGACAGUUUUAGACUGACUUUAGUUCAAAACUAAACUUCGGAAGGAAAUUUCAGAAGUUAUAUAUAUACACCAAACUGACCUUAAAAAUACAGAAGAUGACACUACACUUAAAACAUAAACAUCUAGGAAAAAGUAAGAAUAUUUCAAUCUGUUGGAUAACACCAAUGAUUUUAUUGCACGUAACAACACUUAUCUAUGACACCUGAUUAGACCGAAUUUACAACACUUACCUUUAGGUACCCCUGUGUCUUGGACAGGAUAUUUUUCAGUCUGUCACAAAAAGGCAAGAGACACAGAUGUUUGUUAUUUUGAGUGUAAUUCUGCUGGAGAAAGAGUAUAUAAAACUGCAUGAUUACAGUUGCAUCUCUUAAAUUUCCACUAGUUGAUCUGUCUACAAUCAGACAUAGUAACAAUUCUCUUAUGUGAGAAUUGAGAUGCUAUUAACACUACUGAUUAGCACAUAAAAAGUAACAGACAUUGCUGCUUUCCUGCAGUAUUUUUAAAGGCAUUACUUUUUAGUGAAAAGGCAGAGGUUGGGAAAAAAAUUUUGCAUUUAAGUAGCAAGAUAACCUAGAAAAUGUAAUGCAUACCAGGAGGAAUAGAGAUGACUUCAAAAGCUCUUUUAGCAGAUACAAGCUUUUACUAAAAUAUUACUGUACUGAAAGAAAAAAAUAUUUUUCCCUUCUGCCCUAAAAUUAAGAAGCUGAUUAAAAUGCAAUAGAAAACUAUCAUUACUGAGUUUAAAGGGAUAGCUGCUGAUUUCCAGGCAUGUUAUAACCUACUAUUCUUCCUGAAAUCCACCUCCUUCCCCAUGACGCCUACCUUUAUAUAAAAGUAGGUGUGGCUUUUAUAAAGGCUCAUAACCAAGCAAACAGAUUAAAGACAUCUUAAUUUAAGGGAGUAAGGGGGAUAAACAAGCUUUCAUUCAUCUCAGACAUAGCAACAUUUCCCCUCAGCAAAAACCAGCAUCUAAUUUAGCCAGUUCACAACAUCAAUCACAAAAUCUGUAUCCUUUAUUAAAACCUGCUACACAAAUGCACGUACACAGACUGCAAUAAUGGAUCCCAGUGAAGGAUCGGCAUUUAAAGUACCAGUGAAAUUUCACGAGUUUCCUGCUGACUUCCUGUUGCAAGCUUCAAAAUGGGAAGAAAACACCACGGCAAAGCAAUAGCGUGCUCACUUGCCAUCCAUAAAGCAAACCAAUGCAUUUCAAUCUGUCCAUGUAACUAAAUUAGACGAGCCUUCUCUGGGCUACACGGCACUGUAAAUUUUCCCCAGAGUAAACAAUCCAUAGCAACAUUAAAAUGAAAAACUCUUAAAAUACUUGACAGAAUCUCAUAUUACUUUUACCUGAUAUAUGUCUCAGCGUAAGACUGACAUGUUUAAUAUCCUAAGACACAACUUGUCAUAAAGGUGUUGCUCUGCCAGCAAGCACUAGAGCGCGCUCUUUGGUCUCGCCCACGCCUGUUGUAAGGCACUGCUGUUUGGUCUUACCUUUCCAUGACUUUAACUCACCAGAAAAAAAAAGUACAGGAAGAAAUAACACCUUAGUAUAAUCGAAAUUUUAAACCCUGGUGGGUUUUCUUAUCCCUCCAACCCGUAUAGACAGAAGAAUGACAGAACCAAUCUGUUUUAGUUGUUGGGAUUUUUUUUAAAUUAUAAACAUUACGCUGUCAGUCUCUAGAGGCUAUCCCACAGACAGCUCAGCUGAUACCAUCCAAUUCUGCUUACAAACCAAUUGGUAUUUUUAUUUACACUUUAACUGCACAUUGUUACUAAAUUAAACGGUGUUUAUAUAAUCAUACAGAUAAGCAAAUCCCUAUACAUACUCAUAGUUUGAGUUAACAUCCUUAAAUGUUUUAUCUCACUUCUGCAUUACAUAAGGAUUGAAAGCUAUAAUGAUUUGAAUUGUAUUACACACAUACCAUUGUUAAGGAAAGAGUGCUUGGAUCUGUAUCCUCCACUGGCUCUUUUGCUGCAUGAUUUGCUGGAAAUAAGAAAGCUUUAUCACUGCAUAAUCCUCAAAACACUUGUCUGGCAAUUCAUAUUUUACUUCUUUGUCUGACCAAGAUAAAGCACAAGUACACAGCCAAUACAUGCAUUAUGUCAAAUUACAUUUCCACAAGAAAACACGACAAACUAGAAUAUCAAAGCUACUAGCAUAUAGAUGAGAAACUACAUGCAACAAGAAACCCAACUCUAAGCUAACAAAAGAUAGACUAAAAUGAAAAUUUUAAAUUAUUUUUAGUAAAAAAACCCACAAAACAAUUCAGCAAAGAAUAAAAUCCAGUAAAUGUCCUAAAAUCUAAGUAUUUUUGUCUGAGUGGCAGUGCUCUGUUUUUUCCUUAGAGCAAUAAUUCAAACAGUAAACACACCCACUACAACAAAAAUUAACACUAUAAUAAACAGCAGACUGUAGUACAAAACCUAAUAAAAGAUAUAUUUGAGGUAAACAUUAAUUAUU
Molecule: non-coding RNA, 3215 nt
Organism: Phalacrocorax carbo (great cormorant)
Lineage: Eukaryota; Metazoa; Chordata; Aves; Suliformes; Phalacrocoracidae
Source: RefSeq, a predicted model, not a curated record